Molecule: ribosomal RNA, 731 nt
Filed under: uncultured Streptococcaceae bacterium
Lineage: Bacteria; Bacillati; Bacillota; Bacilli; Lactobacillales; Streptococcaceae
Description: bacterial SSU rRNA
Rfam family: Bacterial small subunit ribosomal RNA
Source: RNAcentral
GCAAGUAGAACGCUGAAGCUUGGUGCUUGCACCGAGCGGAUGAGUUGCGAACGGGUGGGUAACGCGUAGGUAACCUGCCUCUUAGCGGGGGAUAACUAUUGGAAACGAUAGCUAAUACCGCAUAAAAGACGAUAUCGCAUGAUGUUGAUUUGAAAGGUGCAAUUGCAUCACUAAGAGAUGGACCUGCGUUGUAUUAGCUAGUUGGUGAGGUAACGGCUCACCAAGGCGACGAUACAUAGCCGACCUGAGAGGGUGAUCGGCCACACUGGGACUGAGACACGGCCCAGACUCCUACGGGAGGCAGCAGUAGGGAAUCUUCGGCAAUGGGGGCAAUCCUGACCGAGCAACGCCGCGUGAGUGAAGAAGGUUUUCGGAUCGUAAAGCUCUGUUGUAAGAGAAGAACGAGUGUGAGAGUGGAAAGUUCACACUGUGACGGUAACUUACCAGAAAGGGACGGCUAACUACGUGCCAGCAGCCGCGGUAAUACGUAGGUCCCGAGCGUUAUCCGGAUUUAUUGGGCGUAAAGCGAGCGCAGGCGGUUAGAUAAGUCUGAAGUUAAAGGCUGUGGCUUAACCAUAGUACGCUUUGGAAACUGUUUAACUUGAGUGCAGAAGGGGAGAGUGGAAUUCCAUGUGUAGCGGUGAAAUGCGUAGAUAUAUGGAGGAACACCGGUGGCGAAAGCGGCUCUCUGGUCUGUAACUGACGCUGAGGCUCGAAAGCGUGGGGAGCAA